This 227-nucleotide unclassified non-coding RNA is filed under the name Hevea brasiliensis (rubber tree). Lineage: Eukaryota; Viridiplantae; Streptophyta; Magnoliopsida; Malpighiales; Euphorbiaceae. The record is from RNAcentral.
GCCACUAUGAUCGCCCUCGAAUUGCUCAACUUUGUGAAAAAGCCGGUCUAUACAUCCGAGCCCUGCAACAUUAUUCAGAGUUGCCAGAUAUUAAACGUGUCAUUGUUAAUACCCAUGCAAUAGAGCCUCAGGCACUUGUGGAGUUUUUUGGUACCCUAUCACGAGAAUGGGCUUUGGAGUGCAUGAAGGAUCUGUUGCUGGUGAAUCUAAGAGGCAACCUUCAGAUA